This 277-nucleotide ribosomal RNA is filed under the name uncultured prokaryote. RNAcentral's name for it is "partial 16S ribosomal RNA". It matches the Rfam family "Bacterial small subunit ribosomal RNA", at positions 524 to 800 of the family's 1533-position model. The record is from RNAcentral.
UACGGAGGAUGCGAGCGUUAUCCGGAUUUAUUGGGUUUAAAGGGUGCGUAGGCGGCUUUUUAAGUCAGCGGUGAAAUUUUGCGGCUCAACCGUAAAAGUGCCUUCGAUACUGGUUUUCUUGAGUGUAGCUGAAGUAGGCGGAAUUUGUGGUGUAGCGGUGAAAUGCAUAGAUAUCACGAGGAACUCCGAUUGCGCAGGCAGCUUACUAAACUACUACUGACGCUCAGGCACGAAGGCGUGGGGAUCAAACAGGAUUAGAUACCCCGGUAGUCCCUGA